CGGGGUUGGUCGGAGAACAGGCGAAGGUCGGUACACACGGGUUGUCGAUCAGGGAUACGGGAGUACUCGAACGGGACAUGAAGCUCAACGAACUGGCCCCGACCAGUCGUCAUCGGUGUCAUAUAAAUACACCGGAUAAUCAGCCUGCAUGAGGCGCAGGUGUGCGUCUCCCAAUCAGCGCAACCGUGGUGGGACCCGCACAGCCCGGGCUGAAGCGGCAGGAUCAUGUUACAAAUAUUUAAUACCAUACAGUACUGCAUUAGCUAUUGAAUGAUUCUGUUUUGGAUAGUGUAAUUUAGUUGUCUUCUAUCCAUUUUCAAAGCCACUUAUCCCAGUUAGGGUCAUAGGGCACUGGAGCCUAUUCCAGUGAAAGGCGGACUAUACCCUGAAGUGGUUGCCACUCAGUCGCAGGGCACGUCACCUGUCACUGAGUCGGAACUGAAACCAUCCUGCCUGCAGCAAAGUCCGGUUAUUCAUAUCAGCCACUCCUGGGUUCAGCAAGGAUGGGACAACGGGAACAAAGUCUUUGAUUUUUCCAUGAGAAGUCCAGUGAGGCUGGAUCAAUUUACUAAUCGAACGGCAUAAAAAGGGGUGGUUGAUGUCACAUGGCUGAAAGCCCUUUCCUGAGCAAACACUGGAACCAUUCUAACGCAAACUAAGGUGACCUACAUGGACUACUAUACAUCACAGGUGUCAAACUCUGGGCCCGGGGAGCAGUUGCGGCUCACCACAUUAUUUUAUGUGGCCUGCAAAUGUAGCUCAUAAUCAUCAAUAUCUAUGAUUUUUGCUAAAAUCUGUACCCAAAUUUCAGAUUGUCAUAAUAAUUAACAAUAUUGUUGUGAGGCCAAUAUGGUCUCUACAUGGGGUGUAGAAAUGCCCCUGAUUUAAAUUGCGCCAUGUGAUUGAGGAUCAGUGUCAGCUGCUUUAAAAACAACUUUUCUGGCUUCUCAAUACCCCCCCUCCUCACACACACACACCCACACCCACCCACCCACACACACACA
Molecule: long non-coding RNA, 1004 nt
Organism: Syngnathoides biaculeatus (alligator pipefish)
Lineage: Eukaryota; Metazoa; Chordata; Actinopteri; Syngnathiformes; Syngnathidae
Exons: 4
Source: RefSeq, a predicted model, not a curated record